UACAGAGGUCCCAAGCGUUGUUCGGAUUUACUGGGCGUAAAGGGUGCGUAGGUGGCGGGGUAAGUCUGGUGUGAAAGCUCCGAGCUCAACUCGGAAAAGCAUUGGAAACUAUCCCGCUGGAGGGUCGGAGGGGAGACUGGAAUUCUCGGUGUAGCAGUGAAAUGCGUAGAUAUCGAGAGGAACACCAGUGGCGAAGGCGGCUCACUGGUCCGAUACUGACGCUGAGGCGCGAAAGCGUGGGGAGCAAACAGG
This 252-nucleotide ribosomal RNA is filed under the name uncultured bacterium. Its description in RNAcentral is "partial 16S ribosomal RNA". It matches the Rfam family "Bacterial small subunit ribosomal RNA", at positions 524 to 776 of the family's 1533-position model. The record is from RNAcentral.